UGGGGAAUAUUGCACAAUGGGCGGAAGCCUGAUGCAGCGACGCCGCGUGAGGGAAGACGGCCUUCGGGUUGUAAACCUCUUUCAGCUCCGACGAAGCGAAAGUGACGGUAGGGGCAGAAGAAGCGCCGGCCAACUACGUGCCAGCAGCCGCGGUAAGACGUAGGGCGCGAGCGUUGUCCGGAUUUAUUGGGCGUAAAGAGCUCGUAGGCGGCUUGUCGCGUCGACUGUGAAAACCCGUGGCUCAACCAUGUGGUCUGCAGUCGAUACGGGCAGGCUAGAAUUCGGUAGGGGAGACUGGAAUUCCUGGUGUAGCGGUGAAAUGCGCAGAUAUCAGGAGGAACACCGGUGGCGAAGGCGGGUCUCUGGGCCGAUAUUGACGCUGAGGAGCGAAAGCGUGGGGAGCGAACA
This 408-nucleotide ribosomal RNA is filed under the name uncultured Luedemannella sp. Its description in RNAcentral is "bacterial SSU rRNA". It matches the Rfam family "Bacterial small subunit ribosomal RNA", at positions 355 to 774 of the family's 1533-position model. RNAcentral also lists the same sequence under 1 other name. Lineage: Bacteria; Bacillati; Actinomycetota; Actinomycetes; Micromonosporales; Micromonosporaceae. The record is from RNAcentral.